GACGAACGCUGGCGGCGUGCUUAACACAUGCAAGUCGAACGGAAAGGCCCUGCUUUUGUGGGGUCUCGAGUGGCGAACGGGUGAGUAACACGUGAGUAACCUGCCCUUGACUUUGGGAUAACUUCAGGAAACUGGGGCUAAUACCGGAUAGGAGCUCCUGCUGCAUGGUGGGGGUUGGAAAGUUUCGGCGGUUGGGGAUGGACUCGCGGCUUAUCAGCUUGUUGGUGGGGUAGUGGCUUACCAAGGCUUUGACGGGUAGCCGGCCUGAGAGGGUGACCGGCCACAUUGGGACUGAGAUACGGCCCAGACUCCUACGGGAGGCAGCAGUGGGGAAUAUUGCACAAUGGGCGGAAGCCUGAUGCAGCAACACCGCGUGCGGGAUGACGGCCUUCGGGUUGUAAACCGCUUUCGCCUGUGACGAAGCGUGAGUGACGGUAAUGGGUAAAGAAGCACCGGCUAACUACGUG
RNAcentral lists this ribosomal RNA (467 nucleotides) under uncultured bacterium. RNAcentral describes it as "partial 16S ribosomal RNA". It matches the Rfam family "Bacterial small subunit ribosomal RNA", at positions 28 to 507 of the family's 1533-position model. The record is from RNAcentral.